GGCAGAUGAUGUCCUUAUCUCACGAU
This 26-nucleotide non-coding RNA is filed under the name Homo sapiens (human). The record is from RNAcentral. Lineage: Eukaryota; Metazoa; Chordata; Mammalia; Primates; Hominidae.